RNAcentral lists this ribosomal RNA (498 nucleotides) under uncultured bacterium. RNAcentral's name for it is "partial 16S ribosomal RNA". It matches the Rfam family "Bacterial small subunit ribosomal RNA", at positions 29 to 507 of the family's 1533-position model. The record is from RNAcentral.
AGCGAACGCUGGCGGCGUGCCUAACACAUGCAAGUCGAACGUGAAAAGGGAAACCUGCGUAAAGUGGCGUACGGGUGAGUAACGCGUAGGUAAUCUACCCCAGAAUCUGGAAUAACCUGCCGAAAGGCGGGCUAAUACUGGAUAGAGCGAGGGAACUCGUAAGAGAGUUUUUCGGGAAAGGGAGCCCGCAAGGGCCUUCGUUCUGGGAUGAGCCUGCGUCUCAUUAGCUAGUUGGUAAGGUAACGGCUUACCAAGGCGAUGAUGAGUAGCUGGUCUGAGAGGAUGAUCAGCCACACUGGAACUGAAACACGGUCCAGACUCCUACGGGAGGCAGCAGUGGGGAAUCUUGCGCAAUGGACGAAAGUCUGACGCAGCCACGCCGCGUGAGUGAAGAAGGCCUUCGGGUUGUAAAGCUCUGUCGGAUGGGACGAACAUCUUCAUAGUGAAUAGCUAUGAGGACUGACGGUACCAUCAAAGGAAGCACCGGCUAACUCCGUG